GAUUUUUGUAGGGCUGUGUGGGUGUUAAGAUGUCUAUAAAGCUCUGCUUUCUUCAAUUAAUGUUUUCCCCCAAAUAGGGUACUCCUGGUCCACAGGGUGAGAAGGGGGAUCAAGGUGACCAAGGACCGCGGGGAUUGUCUGGUCUCCCUACACUGGCUGCUUUGCAGAGCAAUCAGAUCCUGACUGUCAAGGGAGAUCAGGGUUCAGCAGGUCCACCAGGACCUCCUGGGCCCCCAGGUUCCCCUGGCCCCAGAGGGCCACCAGGGGACACAGGCAAGGAUGGGCCCCGGGGAGUGACAGGUCUGCCGGGAGAACCUGGGACAACAGGAGACCUAGGACUGAUGG
This is a long non-coding RNA of Salvelinus namaycush (lake trout), 345 nucleotides long. RefSeq lists it as uncharacterized. The record is from RefSeq and is a predicted model, not a curated record. The transcript is spliced from 5 exons. NCBI's taxonomy places the organism in Eukaryota, Metazoa, Chordata, Actinopteri, Salmoniformes, Salmonidae.